Molecule: ribosomal RNA, 2915 nt
Filed under: Escherichia coli
Lineage: Bacteria; Pseudomonadati; Pseudomonadota; Gammaproteobacteria; Enterobacterales; Enterobacteriaceae
Description: bacterial LSU rRNA
Rfam family: Bacterial large subunit ribosomal RNA
Source: RNAcentral
UUAAGCGACUAAGCGUACACGGUGGAUGCCCUGGCAGUCAGAGGCGAUGAAGGACGUGCUAAUCUGCGAUAAGCGUCGGUAAGGUGAUAUGAACCGUUAUAACCGGCGAUUUCCGAAUGGGGAAACCCAGUGUGAUUCGUCACACUAUCAUUAACUGAAUCCAUAGGUUAAUGAGGCGAACCGGGGGGAACUGAAACAUCUAAGUACCCCGAGGAAAAGAAAUCAACCGAGAUUCCCCCAGUAGCGGCGAGCGAACGGGGAGCAGCCCAGAGCCUGAAUCAGUGUGUGUGUUAGUGGAAGCGUCUGGAAAGGCGCGCGAUACAGGGUGACAGCCCCGUACACAAAAAUGCACAUGCUGUGAGCUCGAUGAGUAGGGCGGGACACGUGGUAUCCUGUCUGAAUAUGGGGGGACCAUCCUCCAAGGCUAAAUACUCCUGACUGACCGAUAGUGAACCAGUACCGUGAGGGAAAGGCGAAAAGAACCCCGGCGAGGGGAGUGAAAAAGAACCUGAAACCGUGUACGUACAAGCAGUGGGAGCACGCUUAGGCGUGUGACUGCGUACCUUUUGUAUAAUGGGUCAGCGACUUAUAUUCUGUAGCAAGGUUAACCGAAUAGGGGAGCCGAAGGGAAACCGAGUCUUAACUGGGCGUUAAGUUGCAGGGUAUAGACCCGAAACCCGGUGAUCUAGCCAUGGGCAGGUUGAAGGUUGGGUAACACUAACUGGAGGACCGAACCGACUAAUGUUGAAAAAUUAGCGGAUGACUUGUGGCUGGGGGUGAAAGGCCAAUCAAACCGGGAGAUAGCUGGUUCUCCCCGAAAGCUAUUUAGGUAGCGCCUCGUGAAUUCAUCUCCGGGGGUAGAGCACUGUUUCGGCAAGGGGGUCAUCCCGACUUACCAACCCGAUGCAAACUGCGAAUACCGGAGAAUGUUAUCACGGGGAGACACACGGCGGGUGCUAACGUCCGUCGUGAAGAGGGAAACAACCCAGACCGCCAGCUAAGGUCCCAAAGUCAUGGUUAAGUGGGAAACGAUGUGGGAAGGCCCAGACAGCCAGGAUGUUGGCUUAGAAGCAGCCAUCAUUUAAAGAAAGCGUAAUAGCUCACUGGUCGAGUCGGCCUGCGCGGAAGAUGUAACGGGGCUAAACCAUGCACCGAAGCUGCGGCAGCGACGCUCAUGCGUUGUUGGGUAGGGGGAGCGUUCUGUAAGCCUGUGAAGGUGUACUGUGAGGUAUGCUGGAGGUAUCAGAAGUGCGAAUGCUGACAUAAGUAACGAUAAAGCGGGUGAAAAGCCCGCUCGCCGGAAGACCAAGGGUUCCUGUCCAACGUUAAUCGGGGCAGGGUGAGUCGACCCCUAAGGCGAGGCCGAAAGGCGUAGUCGAUGGGAAACAGGUUAAUAUUCCUGUACUUGGUGUUACUGCGAAGGGGGGACGGAGAAGGCUAUGUUGGCCGGGCGACGGUUGUCCCGGUUUAAGCGUGUAGGCUGGUUUUCCAGGCAAAAUCCGGAAAAUCAAGGCUGAGGCGUGAUGACGAGGCACUACGGUGCUGAAGCAACAAAUGCCCUGCUUCCAGGAAAAGCCUCUAAGCAUCAGGUAACAUCAAAUCGUACCCCAAACCGACACAGGUGGUCAGGUAGAGAAUACCAAGGCGCUUGAGAGAACUCGGGUGAAGGAACUAGGCAAAAUGGUGCCGUAACUUCGGGGAGAAGGCACGCUGAUAUGUAGGUGAAGUCCCUCGCGGAUGGAGCUGAAAUCAGUCGAAGAUACCAGCUGGCUGCAACUGUUUAUUAAAAACACAGCACUGUGCAAACACGAAAGUGGACGUAUACGGUGUGACGCCUGCCCGGUGCCGGAAGGUUAAUUGAUGGGGUUAGCGCAAGCGAAGCUCUUGAUCGAAGCCCCGGUAAACGGCGGCCGUAACUAUAACGGUCCUAAGGUAGCGAAAUUCCUUGUCGGGUAAGUUCCGACCUGCACGAAUGGCGUAAUGAUGGCCAGGCUGUCUCCACCCGAGACUCAGUGAAAUUGAACUCGCUGUGAAGAUGCAGUGUACCCGCGGCAAGACGGAAAGACCCCGUGAACCUUUACUAUAGCUUGACACUGAACAUUGAGCCUUGAUGUGUAGGAUAGGUGGGAGGCUUAGAAGUGUGGACGCCAGUCUGCAUGGAGCCGACCUUGAAAAUACCACCCUUUAAUGUUUGAUGUUUCUAACGUUGACCCGUAAUCCGGGUUGCGGACAGUGUCUGGUGGGUAGUUUGACUGGGGCGGUCUCCUCCUAAAGAGUAACGGAGGAGCACGAAGGGUUGGCUAAUCCUGGUCGGACAUCAGGAGGUUAGUUGCAAUGGCAUAAGCCAGCUUGACUGCGAGCGUGACGGCGCGAGCAGGUGCGAAAGCAGGUCAUAGUGAUCCGGUGGUUCUGAAUGGAAGGGCCAUCGCUCAACGGAUAAAAGGUACUCCGGGGAUAACAGGCUGAUACCGCCCAAGAGUUCAUAUCGACGGCGGUGUUUGGCACCUCGAUGUCGGCUCAUCACAAUCCUGGGGCUGAAGUAGGUCCCAAGGGUAUGGCUGUUCGCCAUUUAAAGUGGUACGCGAGCUGGGUUUAGAACGUCGUGAGACAGUUCGGUCCCUAUCUGCCGUGGGCGCUGGAGAACUGAGGGGGGCUGCUCCUAGUACGAGAGGACCGGACGUGGACGCAUCACUGGUGUUCGGGUUGUCAUGCCAAUGGCACUGCCCGGUAGCUAAAUGCGGAAGAGAUAAGUGCUGAAAGCAUCUAAGCACGAAACUUGCCCCGAGAUGAGUUCUCCCUGACUCCUUGAGAGUCCUGAAGGAACGUUGAAGGACGACGACGUUGAUAGGCCGGGUGUGUAAGCGCAGCGAUGCGUUGAGCUAAACCGGUACUAAUGAACCGUGAGGCUUAACCUU